AUCGUGUUUCACUUAGCAUGGCAAGUCACAAUAUUUUUCUGUCCCUGCAGUGAAAGACUGCAGUAAGUUGAUCUUGCUAACAAGAGAUAAUUAUUAGCUUCCUUGGGAAUGUUACUGUAUAUGCAUUGCUAAGCAUUCCAGGAGGAUUAAUAUUUCUGUGAAUUUUGGACAAGACGAGGUAGCGGCCCAGAGAGACAGGACUGUUUGAAUAUUUGUCCUUGCUCCAUUUGCCUCUCCAUCACUGGUAAUUUGUUAAUGCUGCUUGUGUUCCAUCUGAGGUCACGUGGAGAAUUAAUGCACCUCAACUGACUAAUACACCCAAUUCCAAAGAGAGAACAAGGUAAAAUAAAAAUUGAAAGCAGUCAAGAUUCCAGAUGGAGUUGGGGAUCCAUAGAAUGAUUUUUUUAAAAGUGUCUUCCCCUGCAACUCACCACCCUUUCCUUUUUAUUUGAAUUUCCUGCCAAUGGACUUAAGCAUCAUUUAUCUACAUUAAAAAAAACCCUGCUUACUCUGGAAGGUGCUAAGACAGACCUCCAGAGUGUCAGCCCCCAGAAGAAGCCUUGUGUCC
RNAcentral lists this long non-coding RNA (568 nucleotides) under Bos grunniens (domestic yak). RNAcentral's name for it is "lncRNA (ENSBGRG00000012019.1)". The record is from RNAcentral. Lineage: Eukaryota; Metazoa; Chordata; Mammalia; Artiodactyla; Bovidae.